GGUUAAGCGACUAAGCGUACACGGUGGAUGCCCUGGCAGUCAGAGGCGAUGAAGGACGUGCUAAUCUGCGAUAAGCGUCGGUAAGGUGAUAUGAACCGUUAUAACCGGCGAUUUCCGAAUGGGGAAACCCAGUGUGAUUCGUCACACUAUCAUUAACUGAAUCCAUAGGUUAAUGAGGCGAACCGGGGGAACUGAAACAUCUAAGUACCCCGAGGAAAAGAAAUCAACCGAGAUUCCCCCAGUAGCGGCGAGCGAACGGGGAGCAGCCCAGAGCCUGAAUCAGUGUGUGUGUUAGUGGAAGCGUCUGGAAAGGCGCGCGAUACAGGGUGACAGCCCCGUACACAAAAAUGCACAUGCUGUGAGCUCGAUGAGUAGGGCGGGACACGUGGUAUCCUGUCUGAAUAUGGGGGGACCAUCCUCCAAGGCUAAAUACUCCUGACUGACCGAUAGUGAACCAGUACCGUGAGGGAAAGGCGAAAAGAACCCCGGCGAGGGGAGUGAAAAAGAACCUGAAACCGUGUACGUACAAGCAGUGGGAGCACGCUUAGGCGUGUGACUGCGUACCUUUUGUAUAAUGGGUCAGCGACUUAUAUUCUGUAGCAAGGUUAACCGAAUAGGGGAGCCGAAGGGAAACCGAGUCUUAACUGGGCGUUAAGUUGCAGGGUAUAGACCCGAAACCCGGUGAUCUAGCCAUGGGCAGGUUGAAGGUUGGGUAACACUAACUGGAGGACCGAACCGACUAAUGUUGAAAAAUUAGCGGAUGACUUGUGGCUGGGGGUGAAAGGCCAAUCAAACCGGGAGAUAGCUGGUUCUCCCCGAAAGCUAUUUAGGUAGCGCCUCGUGAAUUCAUCUCCGGGGGUAGAGCACUGUUUCGGCAAGGGGGUCAUCCCGACUUACCAACCCGAUGCAAACUGCGAAUACCGGAGAAUGUUAUCACGGGAGACACACGGCGGGUGCUAACGUCCGUCGUGAAGAGGGAAACAACCCAGACCGCCAGCUAAGGUCCCAAAGUCAUGGUUAAGUGGGAAACGAUGUGGGAAGGCCCAGACAGCCAGGAUGUUGGCUUAGAAGCAGCCAUCAUUUAAAGAAAGCGUAAUAGCUCACUGGUCGAGUCGGCCUGCGCGGAAGAUGUAACGGGGCUAAACCAUGCACCGAAGCUGCGGCAGCGACGCUUAUGCGUUGUUGGGUAGGGGAGCGUUCUGUAAGCCUGUGAAGGUGUACUGUGAGGUAUGCUGGAGGUAUCAGAAGUGCGAAUGCUGACAUAAGUAACGAUAAAGCGGGUGAAAAGCCCGCUCGCCGGAAGACCAAGGGUUCCUGUCCAACGUUAAUCGGGGCAGGGUGAGUCGACCCCUAAGGCGAGGCCGAAAGGCGUAGUCGAUGGGAAACAGGUUAAUAUUCCUGUACUUGGUGUUACUGCGAAGGGGGGACGGAGAAGGCUAUGUUGGCCGGGCGACGGUUGUCCCGGUUUAAGCGUGUAGGCUGGUUUUCCAGGCAAAUCCGGAAAAUCAAGGCUGAGGCGUGAUGACGAGGCACUACGGUGCUGAAGCAACAAAUGCCCUGCUUCCAGGAAAAGCCUCUAAGCAUCAGGUAACAUCAAAUCGUACCCCAAACCGACACAGGUGGUCAGGUAGAGAAUACCAAGGCGCUUGAGAGAACUCGGGUGAAGGAACUAGGCAAAAUGGUGCCGUAACUUCGGGAGAAGGCACGCUGAUAUGUAGGUGAAG
Molecule: ribosomal RNA, 1724 nt
Filed under: Escherichia coli
Lineage: Bacteria; Pseudomonadati; Pseudomonadota; Gammaproteobacteria; Enterobacterales; Enterobacteriaceae
Description: partial 23S ribosomal RNA
Rfam family: Bacterial large subunit ribosomal RNA
Source: RNAcentral